GGGGUUUCACCGUGUUAGCCAGGAUGGUCUUGAUCUUGUGACCUCGUGAUCCGCCUGUCUCGGCCUCCCAAAGUGCUGGGAUUACAGGCUUGAGCCACCGCGCCCAGCCGAGAGUUAUGUUUUAGAAAUGAAACUCUUCGGGGUCUUGUUUGGGGUGAGUAAUUAGUGAAGAAAAGAACCAAGUUAAUAUAUUUUUUUUUCUCAAACAUCCUGAUCUUUGACUUUUAUCUUUUUUUUUUUUUUAAACUGACAAGUUACUUCUCUUUCAGGCUCCAAGCUUGAUAUAGAAGACUAUCAUACCCAGAGAGGGUAACUGAAACGAAAGAAAUUACUCCAGCAUCAAGCUAAAGACACGCCUUAAAGGAUGAGGAGGAGCAGAAAUCUUACCAGCAAGGCCAGAAAGAAGCUGUGCAUGAACAGCCUCUACUUUAGGCUCAGAAGGAAAAGAAGUUUACAGGAGACAAUCACUCUUAUACUCUUCCAUGGUCACAAACAAGAGGUCCCUGGAUCUGUAGGUGAGCAAGAGGUGAUCUGGGAUUUGGAGUCGGUACUGCAUUCUGAAUUCCCUGGCACAAUUAAAAGGCAAUAGAGCUAACAGUAGAAUCACCAAUUAUC
RNAcentral lists this long non-coding RNA (615 nucleotides) under Rhinopithecus bieti (black snub-nosed monkey). RNAcentral describes it as "lncRNA (ENSRBIG00000045045.1)". Lineage: Eukaryota; Metazoa; Chordata; Mammalia; Primates; Cercopithecidae. The record is from RNAcentral.